RNAcentral lists this ribosomal RNA (484 nucleotides) under uncultured bacterium. RNAcentral describes it as "partial 16S ribosomal RNA". It matches the Rfam family "Bacterial small subunit ribosomal RNA", at positions 30 to 507 of the family's 1533-position model. The record is from RNAcentral.
AUUGAACGCUGGCGGAAUGCUUUACACAUGCAAGUCGAGCGGCAGCACGGGGGCAACCCUGGUGGCGAGCGGCGAACGGGUGAGUAAUACAUCGGAACAUGCCCAGUCGUGGGGGAUAACACUUCGAAAGAAGUGCUAAUACCGCAUACGUCCUGAGGGAGAAAGCGGGGGAUCGCAAGACCUCGCGCGAUUGGAGUGGCCGAUGUCAGAUUGGCUAGUUGGUGGGGUAAAGGCCUACCAAGGCAACGAUCUGUAGCUGGUCUGAGAGGAUGAUCAGCCACACUGGGACUGAGACACGGCCCAGACUCCUACGGGAGGCAGCAGUGGGGAAUUUUGGACAAUGGGGGCAACCCUGAUCCAGCCAUUCCGCGUGAGUGAAGAAGGCCUUCGGGUUGUAAAGCUCUUUCGGCAGGAACGAAACGGCGAGCUCUAACAUAGCUUGCUAAUGACGGUACCUGAAGAAGAAGCACCGGCUAACUACGUG